GACGAACGCUGGCGGCGUGCUUAACACAUGCAAGUCGAACGAUGAAGAAGAGAAACGCGAACUUCGGUGCAAAUUUCACUUCGGAUUAGUGGCAGACGGGUGAGUAACGCGUGAGCAACCUACCUCUUACAAAGGGAUAGCCUCGGGAAACCGUGAUUAAUACCAUAUGACACAUUCAUAAGGCAUCUUAAGAAUGUUAAAGCUACGGCGGUAAGAGAUGGGCUCGCGUCCCAUUAGCUAGUUGGUGAGGUAACGGCCCACCAAGGCGACGAUGGGUAACCGGCCUGAGAGGGUGAACGGUCACAUUGGAACUGAGACACGGUCCAAACUCCUACGGGAGGCAGCAGUGGGGAAUAUUGCACAAUGGAGGGAACUCUGAUGCAGCGACGCCGCGUGAGCGAUGAAGGAAUUCGUGUCGUAAAGCUCUGUUCUAUGGGAAGAAAAGGACUGUACCAUAGGAGAAAGCCCCGGCUAAAUACGUG
RNAcentral lists this ribosomal RNA (482 nucleotides) under uncultured bacterium. Its description in RNAcentral is "partial 16S ribosomal RNA". It matches the Rfam family "Bacterial small subunit ribosomal RNA", at positions 28 to 507 of the family's 1533-position model. The record is from RNAcentral.